This 4452-nucleotide unclassified non-coding RNA is filed under the name Orussus abietinus. RNAcentral describes it as "rho guanine nucleotide exchange factor 7, transcript variant X3". Lineage: Eukaryota; Metazoa; Arthropoda; Insecta; Hymenoptera; Orussidae. The record is from RNAcentral.
UCUUUCAUGCCCUAAUAUUAAAUAUCCAAUGCCUAAUAGGCCGUUUAAGAUGAAACAAUGUUUUCCACAACAUUUUCUGCCUGACCACAGAAAAGUUCACAGGCUAGAUCUUACUCGUCAAAGGUACAAUGACGAGCAAGUUAUAUAAGAUUAUGGCACGUAUUCAUGAUUGUGUUAACAAUUUUUCAUUGGUUGUACAAACGCAUGCGCGCAGAUGCAAGAAGUCAUCAAGUGAGAUGCAAACGUAUUUUCGUCUCUGAGAUGAUGCUUACACUUCGGCGACCUGCAUUCCUUUUCUAUCACUAUAAGUUCUGUGAUUCAUCGCCAUGUUUUUAUGUUUCCGUUCAUGUUUUCUCUUGUCAUUUGAAGCACUGAUUAAAUACUAAAAUUUGUAGUAUAUAAAAUAUCAAUAUGAUCCUGCGAAGAUCGUUGAAGAUUCCUAUGGAUCAUAAUUGUCAAAAGUUGUCAUGGAAAGUGAUAAAAUGUCAAUGUGAUAAUAUUCAGUGAUAAAAAGCUAUCUGGUUUUCAUCGAAUCAUGUAGCAGACUACAUGCCUCAGAUCUAUUCAUGAGAACGAUUCCACAGCCACCGAAGAUGUUAGCUCAUGACGUACAUUGGAACAGUAUUAAUCGUGGCAUUAUACUUAAAGAUAUAGUCGACACUGAGAAAGCGAACGUUGCAGAGUUGCAAGGAUUGGUUGACAAUUUUCUACAGCCACUUGCUUCGACUAACAUCCUAACCGAGGAAGAAUUUAGCCAAUUAAUUGGUAAUUUGUUAGAAGUGUUGGAGAUUCACGAAUAUCUUCUAAAGUUGUUGGAACGUGCCUUACUUCAGGGAUCGAUGAGCAAAGUGGGAGACCGCUUUUUAAUGCUAGCAUCUAGAAUAAAUGAGAUUCAUCAAUCUUAUUGUGAUCAUCAUCCACUAGCAGUGUGCAUUUUAGACAAAUAUAGAAAAGAAUUGAAUGCAUACAUGGAAGAGAAAGGAGCAGUGUCACCGGGUAUUCUAGUCCUUACAACUGGUUUAAGUAAACCCCUUCGUAGACUGGAAAAGUACUCAGCCAUGUUUCAAGAAUUGGAAAGGUAUACGGAGAGGUGCCACCCAGAUAAGGGAAAUGUGCAACGAUGCAUUAUCCUCUACAGAGAAAUAGCUGAGACAUGCGCUAGUAUAAGGAGAAGGAAGGAACUGGCUCUUCAAGUAUUGAUGGGAGGAAUCGAAGACUGGGAUGGCGAAGAAUUAGGAUCCAUAGAUGAGAUACUUCACGUCGGCCUAGUGACUCUCGUUAUGGGAGAGGAACUACGAACCAGAUACCUCGUUUUAUCUCCCACGGCCCUUCACAUAUUGAGUACUAAUCAGACUAUGAGUUCUUUUGUUUACGAGUGCAAGUUGCCGUUAGGCACAAUUACGAUCACUCCAAUGGCAAACACAGAAGAGACGAGGAAUGCAUUUACAAUAUCAGGGCCAACGAUGGACAGCAUUCUCGUGUUGUGCUCCUCUAGCGAAGAGAAACACCAGUGGUUUGAGAGUUUAACCUCGGAGCACAACAGCGAGCCAGUCAAGUCAACGUCAGCAUUUUGUGGGAGUUCCUGUUAUCCUCCGUUUUCUCGGCUCUCGCGAUUUUUCGCACGUCUCGUCAGGAAGAAAGUGAUUUAUCCAGAGUUAUUGAAGAAACUGUUGUACUUUGAGUACAUCGUGAAGCUGGACUUAACCGGUGUUAAAAUGAGAAAGUGCAAAGUGGAGUACUCGAUAUGUCCGAUUCAACCGGACAGUAGUCAAUCAGAAUCAGAUGCUUCUGUUGUCGACAAAUCAGUGAAUAAAACGCGUUCUGUGUACAAAUCGACUUUAAACCUCGAUGUGAAUUACGCGACAGAAACGGUAAAGUGUUGUGACUCUACCGUUCCUACACUCGUCUCCGAGUCGAGUUCUGCCCAAAACGGAUUCCAUGAUACCAAAAGUCUACCAGGUUCUUCUUCAGUUGGAAAAGUAAAUGUUACUAUGCCGGCUCAUCCUUCGUUAUGUGACACUUACUGGGAACAUUAUAACACAGAGCGUAAUGGUGGGAAUCUAAACAAACACGCGAAAAAUUGGAAGUGCGUCGAACUAGUCAAAAAAGACACAGUGAGCAGGUUAUGGUUGAUGUUAACACCAACUAGCGAAGAUAAUGGAAAGGAUGAAGACGAUUACGAAGAUUUUACUGAAGAGGAAACCAAAGAGAGGAAUGUCUGUACAUUUGAGAUUGAUAAUUCCUCAAGACUUGUGGUUACGAGUCCCCGAUCGUCUGAUUCAGGGAUGGCCGGAAGCUGUAACUGGAACUCUUCGGAACUGAAUUUUCACAAGUCUGAUCGAGACAGUGUGGAGUCUACAUCUCCAACAUACGAUGCAUCGCACAGAGAAAGUGAAACCGAAGAACACGAAUUUGAGCGUCAAUGCAUUUGUGCUUCACCAUUUGAUUCGUUACCGGCUUCUCAGAAUACAGAUCGUAGUGAAACUCAACAAUCAUCUCAACAGAGUAAUGUUGAUACUAUUUCUACAGAGCAAGCACCGUGUUUGACUACAAAGCGAUCAAUAACUAUGAAUCGUAAAAGGUUUAGUGAGCCUGUACCGUACACAAAUCAAUGUUACAACACCCCAAGGAAAAUUAGUAGUCGAGUGGUGCAUCUAAGACAAGAAAAAAAACGAGUAGAAUUAAUAUUCAGGUCUGGUUUGUACGCACAUUGGUGGCUUAAAAAAAAAAUUCCCACAAACGAAUCCACGGAUCAAGAUCCUACAUAACAUAGGUUUCAGAUAUAAUAGAAUGAACUGUAAAGUUCCAUUAUAAUUGAAGAUUUCGAGCUUUCACGCCUGUUUUCUACACUAAUGGUUCAUGCACACAGCUGACGGCAGCAGCAGAUUAAUUGAAUCGUACCACUUGUCACCCGUCGUACCGUUGUCAGCUUCUUGUUUCAUUUGUUAAUAAUACGUUUCUUCUAAAUAGUAUAAGACACAAUCGUGUCGCGUAUGUAAUAGUGAUUGUUUUAAAUGAGGCAUUCGUACCACGCGGCUACGAUUAGGAAAACUCUUAAUCGCGCAGAUUGUUUGGUCUGGAAGUACAAACAAAACUCAUUUCUAGGUUAAUUCAUUAUUUACCGUCAUUAUUAAGCUGACGGGCUCGCGAUAAACACUUGUUUCACUUCGGAUGGUUAAUUCGCGAUUUCUGAAACGGUUCCGAUAUAAACUCCACGCUUGAGCAGAUAUUCGAGUGUCUACACAAUUCCCCGACUACUGUCCGUACGUCGUAUUUAGCAUCUUAUUCCGUAACUUACGUGCAUAAGGCCAACUAUUUUUUAACAUCUCAGAAGGAAAGCGUAUUAGAAUGUGUUAUUUUAAAUACUGUUCUUCCAUAUAAGGACAGUUUUGAACUAUACGGAUGUCCAUAUACGAUACAACACAAUAACAUAAUGUAAUACAAUAUAUAAUGUCAUAAAACGUAACGUCGUUCCUCCUAAAUAAUUAGAUAUCUUUCUCGGAAGUUUUUUUCACCUUAGUUUAGUAUAAGUUUAUUUAAAAGGAAGAUGGAAGCAUGAUUUUAACGUCCCUUGAUUUUCUUACUUCCAAAGCUAAGCAUCCGCCAUUUACUAAUAAACGAAAGGUUGACUCUUGGGUUUGGAAGUCGAAGAAGCAAGGAGAGCGAAAAGCUUUUUUUCCGCGUUUUCUUAAAGCAACCUCGUAAAAGUACCGAUAUAGAAGAAUCUGUAAAGCCGAGUUUAAAUUUGAGUUCGAUCGCCAGUCUUUACAAGGUGUCGUCCCCUCGGAAGGUUCCGUGGAAUAUAAUUAGGUCGAUUUUUAGUUCAGCCGAGAUGAGUUGUGUUGCCAACAUAAAAAACGUACUCCCCGUUAUCUCUCUCCGAAUUGGAUACAUCUUCGAAGCGCACACAGUAAAUCUUCUAUAAAUCUAAACGUCAGAAUUAUACGAAUGAUCUCGAAUGCCUUUGGCCUACGUCAAUGAAUGCUGCCAGUAAAAAAAGAGCAAUGAGAAAUGCAUUAUUGUCCUCGUUCAAUCUAUGGGUUUUACAAGGCCGGACAAGAUCCGACACCGAUGGCACGUUUGUAAGGGUCCCCGUUAAAGUUCCCAUUUGACACCGGUGAAAACGUUUUUCCUGAGUGGCGAACAACUAGAGUGCUAGACAGAGACCUACACGUGGUGAGAAUGACAAAACAAGAAGAGAGGAUGAAUGUGUAAUGAGAUCAAUAGAAAGAGGUUAUAUUUUCCGAACACUUACAUACUCGUCAAGCUCCGUAAUACCUCGAAAUGGCUGCGAAAUAUCGUGCGAGAACCGAAAGGAAUCCCUCUGGAGGUGGCAACACCUAAUUUCCUUGGAGUCGCGCAUCGGGAGACGGAAGAACGGAAGAUGAGGACCCUAAAAGAGUAAGAAGGAGACCCGAGUGCGACGAGCGUCUCCCUUGGCCCUACGGGCCA